RNAcentral lists this ribosomal RNA (425 nucleotides) under uncultured bacterium. RNAcentral describes it as "bacterial SSU rRNA". It matches the Rfam family "Bacterial small subunit ribosomal RNA", at positions 355 to 773 of the family's 1533-position model. The record is from RNAcentral.
UAGGGAAUCUUCCGCAAUGGGCGAAAGCUGACGGAGCAACGCCGCGUGAGCAAGAAGGCCUUCGGGUUGUAAAGCUCAGUCACUCGGGAAGAGCAACCUAAGGAGUGGAAAGCCUUAGGGGAGACGGUACCGAGGGAGGAAGCCCCGGCAAACUACGUGCCAGCAGCCGCGGUAAUACGUAGGGGGCAAGCGUUGUCCGGAAUCACUGGGCGUAAAGCGUGAUCGUAGGCGGUUUUUUGGGUCUGGGGUGAAAGUUCAGGGCUCAACCUUGAGAAUGCCUUGGAACUAGAAGACUUGAGUGCUGGAGAGGCAAGGGGAAUUCCACGUGUAGCGGUGAAAUGCGUAGAGAUGUGGAGGAAUACCAGUGGCGAAGGCGCCUUGCUGGACAGUGACUGACGCUGAGGCACGAAAGCGUGGGAGCAACA